RNAcentral lists this ribosomal RNA (253 nucleotides) under uncultured bacterium. RNAcentral describes it as "partial 16S ribosomal RNA". It matches the Rfam family "Bacterial small subunit ribosomal RNA", at positions 524 to 776 of the family's 1533-position model. The record is from RNAcentral.
UACGUAGGGGGCUAGCGUUGUCCGGAUUUAUUGGGCGUAAAGAGCGUGUAGGCGGCCAGGUAGGUCUGGUGUGAAAACUCGAGGCUUAACCUCGAGAUGUCAUCGGAAACCAUCUGGCUAGAGUCCGGAAGAGGAGAGUGGAAUUCCUGGUGUAGCGGUGAAAUGCGCAGAUAUCAGGAAGAACACCAAUGGCGAAAGCAGCUCUUUGGGACGGUACUGACGCUGAGACGCGAAAGCGUGGGGAGCGAACAGG